CACGUAGUUAGCCGGGGCUUCUUAGUCAGGUGCCGUCAUUAUCUUCCCUGCUGAUAGAGCUUUACAUACCGAAAUACUUCUUCACUCACGCGGCGUCGCUGCAUCAGGGUUUCCCCCAUUGUGCAAUAUUCCCCACUGCUGCCUCCCGUAGGAGUCUGGGCCGUGUCUCAGUCCCAAUGUGGCCGUUCACUCUCUCAAGCCGGCUACUGAUCGUCGCCUUGGUAGGCCGUUACCCUGCCAACUAGCUAAUCAGACGCGGGUCCAUCUCACAGCGAUAAAUCUUUGAAGGAACCUUCAUGCGGAGAUCCCUUGUUAUGCGGUAUUAGCAGCCGUUUCCGGCUGUUGUCCCCCUCUGUGAGGCAGGUUACCCACGCGUUACUCACCCGUCCGCCACUCAGUCAUUACCAUCUUCCCUCCGAAAAGUUCCGUCGGUAGCGCUUCGUUCGACUUGCAUGUGUUAGCACGCCGCCAGCGUUCAUCCUGACGCC
Molecule: ribosomal RNA, 488 nt
Filed under: uncultured Lachnospiraceae bacterium
Lineage: Bacteria; Bacillati; Bacillota; Clostridia; Lachnospirales; Lachnospiraceae
Description: partial 16S ribosomal RNA
Source: RNAcentral